Molecule: ribosomal RNA, 206 nt
Filed under: uncultured bacterium
Lineage: Bacteria
Description: partial 16S ribosomal RNA
Rfam family: Bacterial small subunit ribosomal RNA
Source: RNAcentral
GAUUGUAGUCUGNAACCCGACUACAUGAAGCUGGAAUCGCUAGUAAUCGCGGAUCAGAAUGCCGCGGUGAAUACGUUCCCGGGUCUUGUACACACCGCCCGUCACACCAUGGGAGUCGGAAAUGCCCGAAGUCUGUGACCCCAACCUACGGGAGGGAGCAGCCGAAGGCAGGUCGGAUGACUGGGGUGAAGUCGUAACAAGGUAGC